RNAcentral lists this ribosomal RNA (400 nucleotides) under uncultured bacterium. RNAcentral's name for it is "bacterial SSU rRNA". It matches the Rfam family "Bacterial small subunit ribosomal RNA", at positions 355 to 747 of the family's 1533-position model. The record is from RNAcentral.
UGGGGAAUAUUGGACAAUGGGGGAAACCCUGAUCCAGCAAUGCCGCGUGUGUGAAGAAGGCCUUCGGGUUGUAAAGCACUUUCAGUGGGGAGGAAGGGGCGUAUGUUAAUACCAUACGUCAUUGACGUUACCCACAGAAGAAGCACCGGCUAACUCUGUGCCAGCAGCCGCGGUAAUACAGAGGGUGCAAGCGUUAAUCGGAAUUACUGGGCGUAAAGCGUGUGUAGGUGGUUAGAUAAGUUAGAUGUGAAAUCCCCGGGCUUAACCUGGGCACUGCGUUUAAAACUGUUUAACUAGAGUGCUGUAGAGGGUAGUGGAAUUUCCAGUGUAGCGGUGAAAUGCGUAGAUAUUGGAAGGAACACCAGUGGCGAAGGCGACUACCUGGACAGACACUGACACU